AUUGAACGCUGGCGGCAGGCCUAACACAUGCAAGUCGAGCGGAUGAAGGGAGCUUGCUCCUGGAUUCAGCGGCGGACGGGUGAGUAAUGCCUAGGAAUCUGCCUGGUAGUUGGGGAUAACGUCCGGAAACGGGCGCUAAUACCGCAUACGUCCUGAGGGAGAAAGUGGGGGAUCUUCGGACCUCACGCUAUCAGAUGACCCUAGGUCGGAUUAGCUAGUUGGUGGGGUAAAGGCCUACCAAGGCGACGAUCCGUAACUGGCCUGAGAGGAUGAUCAGUCACACUGGAACUGAGACACGGUCCAGACUCCUACGGGAGGCAGCAGUGGGGAAUAUUGGACAAUGGGCGAAAGCCUGAUCCAGCCAUGCCGCGUGUGUGAAGAAGGUCUUCGGAUUGUAAAGCACUUUAAGUUGGGAGGAAGGGCAGUAAGUUAAUACCUUGCUGUUUUGACGUUACCAACAGAAUAAGCACCGGCUAACUUCGUG
This 484-nucleotide ribosomal RNA is filed under the name uncultured bacterium. RNAcentral describes it as "partial 16S ribosomal RNA". It matches the Rfam family "Bacterial small subunit ribosomal RNA", at positions 30 to 507 of the family's 1533-position model. The record is from RNAcentral.